GGGCCCGCACAAGCGGUGGAGCAUGUGGUUUAAUUCGAUGCAACGCGAAGAACCUUACCAGGGCUUAAAUGGGAAAUGACAGGGGCAGAGACGCCCCCUUCUUCGGACCACUUACAAGGUGCUGCAUGGUUGUCGUCAGCUCGUGCCGUGAGGUGUCAGGUUAAGUCCUAUAACGAGCGCAACCCCUGUUGUUAGUUGCCAGCGAGUCAUGUCGGGAACUCUAACGAAACUGCCAGUGCAAACUGUGAGGAAGGUGGGGAUGACGUCAAAUCAUCACGGCCCUUACGUCCUGGGCUACACACGUGCUACAAUGGCCGGUACAGAGAGCAGCCACUUCGCAAGAAGGAGCGAAUCUAUUAAAACCGGUUCAGUUCGGAUCGGAGUCUGCAACUCGACUCCGUGAAGCUGGAAUC
This 413-nucleotide ribosomal RNA is filed under the name uncultured bacterium. RNAcentral's name for it is "bacterial SSU rRNA". It matches the Rfam family "Bacterial small subunit ribosomal RNA", at positions 917 to 1333 of the family's 1533-position model. The record is from RNAcentral.